Non-coding RNA from Delphinapterus leucas (beluga whale), 1176 nucleotides. NCBI's taxonomy places the organism in Eukaryota, Metazoa, Chordata, Mammalia, Artiodactyla, Monodontidae. The record is from RefSeq and is a predicted model, not a curated record.
GGGGGCUGGGGGUUCUGUUCUAGAAAGGUCCUGCUUGGUUACAAAAUGAGAAUGCAAAUGCGUUUGUUUUAGGCCCUUGUGUGAUACGUGAUAAAACCUGAACUUUUCUGCCUAAUACAAAAUAAUAGGACUGAUGCAAAUGUCAAUGACUGCAAUCAUGGUAGAGCUUUUCUUAUUUAGACUGUUACAAGUAACAUCCACAGUACUGUUGCUAGCACAAAUUCAGACUUGUCCUACAAAGGCCUCAUAUGCCAUGAUACCUAUCAGCAAAGUGCUGAUAUCUGUGCUGAAAUUUCCACCCUUGACCAGAGAGACUAAAAUAGUUCUACCACCUCUUCUACUUCUUCCUGCUGUGUAAUCUUUGCUCCCUACAGUUUCUGCUCAAAACACCAGUCUCCGAGUCAGUAAAACCUGUUAUUUUCCUUAGUUUAUUUAUGUUUCUGAGGAAGGCGGGACUGCUUUGGGGAGUUAUUUCCAUCACGUGUGACUGAGGACCACGUGGUUUAUAAAUUCUAGAGAAUGUACAGGGAUAACAUCUUGGAGCCUCAGCCUCAACCUCCUCGCCACCAGGUGUGACAUACUGGAUUGAUCUGCAACCUAGAGCUGUAUUAUGGGCCAUGAUGCUCUUCCAGUGAGGAGCAGAAACUCAGUGGUAUGAAGACUGCCUGCCUGAAUAUUUCUGGCUACUUCAUGAAAGUACAGAGGUUGUUACAUUUCUUUUCUACUCUGUGAAGUAAUUUUACAGGACUUUGAAAGCCUCUGAGAAGUCUGUGGAACAGUUUCCUGAGUCUUUGGCAUGGGAGUCCUACACAGCACAGCUGCUUCAAUAUUGUGUUCUGAAAUCUCGGUUCUGGUUACUGUGGAAUAAAAAGCUGAGCACAGGAACUAGAGGGAAAUUCUCCAGCCUUUUGAACUCAACUUGUCCUUUCUGGGUAUGUUUUAUUUCUUAUCCAACGUAAGUCUAAGAAGGCAAGGUUUUCAUGGCAACAUAAUGAUUGCUACCCAAUAAGGGAAGGUGAUUUCCUGAAAGAUUCCUGCUGUUUUCUUAGCAGGUGGAAACUUCAGUGGCUGCAGAGGCUGUGUGCUGUUAUUGUCCUUCCUGGACUCAUUCUUUCCAUUCUGAGACAGGAAACAAAACAUCCAGAGGAAACAAUUGGUAGUUCUGUCCCUAUUUCU